AGGAGGAAAAUUACAAUUCAGAGUGAAUCCAAAGGGGCUAAGCGUCCUGAGAUUUCCACUGAUAAAUGAGAGCCCUCACCACAGACUGUGCCCCUGCCAGCACCUACAUUGCAUUGAUUACUGUCAGAACGAGGAAACAGAUUCAAUGGCCUCCCCAGGCAGAGGACAACAGUGAUGACGACAUGCCAGCAACAUAGACCAAGAAUUGAAUGAAGUUUGGUCAUUAAAACUCAAGCCUUGCAGAUGCUGGCCUAAUUGGAUUUAGAUGCAAUGCCCACUAGCUAUUGGAAGGAUGACCCAUGGUAUUUUGUCACAGCAAUAGAAAGCUGACCAAAAUUACAGCCUCGAAACAGGAACGAUGAGACAGACCACAUCACACCCAGAGAGGCUCAUGAACCAUCAAGAAGAGGGGGUGGAAAGACGUCAAAGUCAGAGGAGAGGUCAGGAAGGACCAGAGGGAAACAAUGUCUUUUGGACAAGACAAGAUGACUACAAUACAAACACUAGGGAAAGAAGGUCCAGGGCUAGAGAGACAGCUCAGAACAUGUUUCACCAGAGCCUGACUCUGGUCACUCAUUAGAACUUCUCACUGGGUCAAUGGAAAGAUAAAAAAGAAGACGGAGAAACCUGAACUAUUCCCUUCAGUUGCUGGCUGAUAACUCUGAAGUUUGGUAAUGGAGUAAGGGAAGUGAGCUUUCCUCAUCACCAGUAAGAUUUGAUUAAACCUGCUCUAUCUAGUCUCUAAUAUUGGAGAUAAUAAGUUGGCUGCAUGUCAAUUCAAAGGGAUGAUAUGUCAUUUAAAUAAAUGGUCUACAUCUGGACAUUCUUAUUCUAUUAAGAAAAUAAAAUGUAGGACCUAGUUAAAGAAUUGGAUUGCUUUCAAAAUGUUGACUUUGUAAAAUUUUAGUGGGCGUUGGUAGAAAAGCAGAAAGAACAGUCAAGGAAUUAGUUACCGGGGCGCAGAAGCUGUUAUUUAAAAGGCAAUAAUAUACCAUUUUGCAUAGACAGGAAGAAGUUUGGGCUAGUCCUGCCCUACCUAUUGUCAACAUCUACAGCUUUAACCAAAACCUUGGUUGGAUCUACACAAUGCAGGUACUUUUGGUAGAAAUCACAGAAGCAUUUUCUUUACACAGAAUUUUGUGAAUACAACACAGGGUUUGAAAAUGGCAGGCUAUUUCUCCUCUGCAACUUAUAAAAUGAUAAAAAAAAUUACUUAGGAGAAAACACAUUUAACACAUUCAUGUUGCUAUGAGUGCUGCUUCUGGCAUUGCUUCUAACUCCUCAUCCCUUCAUCUGGGGGCGUUGUGUGGCCAGGUGUGUCUCAGAGAGUGGUGCGUGCCUGGCUUCUGUUCAGGCCACCCUCUUCUUUCAUCCUCUCCUCUGGCAUAACUUCUGGUCUUCAGCAUCCCAUGACACUUUGCAUCCCAUUUCAGUGGUCACAUCCUCAUAAUGACGUGAGUAUCCUAAUUGUGUCCAUUCUCACUGUCACUUCUGUGACUGAUCACAAGCCAUACUUUUAAAGUGUCUUGACCAGCUGUACCUCUGCAACAAAUACAACUGCUGUUUCUGAUUUGCUCACACAGGGCAGAUUCCUUCAAGGCCAGGACAAAAGGCCCUCUCUCUUCACCAUAUUCCUCAAGCCCUUGUCACAUUGUUUACUGUGUCUGGGAUUGCAGGAUUUUUAUGCAGAACCACAGCCUUUAAACAACACAUUAAAAUCAACAGCAUUUUUGCUGAAAUUUCUACCAUCUGGCACUGUCUCUCUCACUCUGUUGAAGUCAUCAAUUGCAGAAUUUCUUCUGGGGUUUGCUUCCAAAUAUCUUUCUUAAUCUGAACCACAGGGCUUGCCACUUAACUACUGGUGUCUCUCACAUGUAGCUAUAGGACCAGAGCACAGCUUACCUAACUGCUAUAAUAUAGUGGGAUCUAGAAUUUUUUUGGAAAAGUAUAUCGUAGAUAAAACAGAAAUUGUUUUUUCCCCCCAGAGUAUUUCCUACAGAAAAUUCUUCCCCUUCCCCCCAAAAGUGUUUAGUAUUACCAUGCUGGUUUGUGUAUGGGUUCAAUGUGGCUUAACUCCUACACCAUCAGUUAUUCCCUGUAUACAUUCUGAAGCCAACAUCUGGCAAUUUGGGGUUCUUUAAAUCCUUUUGAGAUAAUGAAGAUGAGUUAAUGAUUAUGAUUCCUGUCCAGAUAAUCUUCUCAUUUUGCUGUUUUCCUUUUUUUCUAAUAUUAUACCAUGAUUUUUUUCAAGCAGAUAAAUGGAAAGAACAUCACAGUGAACAGUGAGUACUGUGUACUGCCAGCUAGAUUCUGUCAUUAAUAUUACCACAUUUGCUUUGCCAUGUGUGUAUAUAUACAGGCCCAUCCUUCUCUCCAACUGUACUCCAUCUGUCCUUUUGGUGGUGGGUAUUUCCACAUGCACUGAGGCACCAACAGGCUUCUUCCUUAGGUUUUCUCUCUGACUCUUUAAUCUGUCUUUUUUUUUAGCACUAUCCAUUUGACUAUGAUAAAUGUUUUCUUUACACUGAGUAGGAGUUAUGAGAAUAUUAACAUCGAGGAAUGAUGUGUUAAAGCUAGGCAAUGUCCUCUAGGCCAUUUUCCUCUUAUUCUCUUCCCAGCAUUCUGAGUUGGGAUGUGUUAAAACUCACAGCCCUAACUUCUGUCUCUUGAUUUCUUAAAAAAAAAUAUAUAUAUAUAACUUUCUAUUAUCAUACAACAUUCUAUGAACUUUCUUCAGAUCUAUCUUCCAGUUUAUAAAUAUUUCUCUUUACUCCAGUUUAAUUUGAAUCUACAAAACUCAUUAGAUGAGUUUCUCAUUUCAUAUGUAUACUUACUGCAAUAGAAUAUAACCUUUGAAGCGUAUUUAUGCAGCGUACGUAACAUCUGGAAUUCAUAGUAUACACACACACACACACACACACACACACAC
This is a long non-coding RNA of Onychomys torridus (southern grasshopper mouse), 2929 nucleotides long. RefSeq lists it as uncharacterized. The transcript has 4 exons. The record is from RefSeq and is a predicted model, not a curated record. NCBI's taxonomy places the organism in Eukaryota, Metazoa, Chordata, Mammalia, Rodentia, Cricetidae.